This 485-nucleotide ribosomal RNA is filed under the name uncultured bacterium. RNAcentral describes it as "partial 16S ribosomal RNA". It matches the Rfam family "Bacterial small subunit ribosomal RNA", at positions 28 to 507 of the family's 1533-position model. The record is from RNAcentral.
GAUGAACGCUAGCUACAGGCCUAACACAUGCAAGUCGCGGGGCGGCAUGGGUGUUGAUUCCUCCCACAAAUGGCGGCCGGCGCAGGGGCGCGUAACCCACCUACACUCUGCCCUUCGCUACCGCACAGCCAGGCGGAAUUAUGCCCCAUACCGUUUCUUAUCCAUUUACUUAAUCAGUUAAAGCCGCAAGGCGUUGUAGGGUGGGCGUGCGUCCGAUUAGCUAGACGGCGAGGUAACGGCACACCGUGGCUAUGAUCGGUAGGGGUUCUGAGAGGAAGAUCCCCCACACUGGAACUGAGACACGGGCCAGACUCCUACGGGAGGCAGCAGUGAGGAAUAUUGGUCAAUGGGCGAAAGCCUGAACCAGCCAAGUAGCGUGCAGGAAGACGGCCCUAUGGGUUGUAAACUGCUUUUAGGAGGGGAUAAAGUGGCCGACGUGUGGGUUUUUGCAGGUACCGCAUGAAUAAGGACCGGCUAAUUCCGUG